RNAcentral lists this long non-coding RNA (245 nucleotides) under Setaria viridis. Its description in RNAcentral is "long non-coding RNA (SVIR_LNC010312)". The record is from RNAcentral. Lineage: Eukaryota; Viridiplantae; Streptophyta; Magnoliopsida; Poales; Poaceae.
GGGUAGAGACCUAAGGACGUUGCGCUGAACUUACUCAAGAUGUCGCGGGCUAAAAAGCAGACGGUGGAGGAAGCGUUGAGCAACAACAGAUGGAUCAGGGACUUGGACCUGCACAAUGGGCUAACAACAGGUCACCUAGAAGAAUUUGUGCGACUUUGGGUUUUGCUACGCGAAGUACAACUCCAUCCACAUCAGGAAGAUCAGAUCACAUGGAAGCUAACGGCCAGCGGGACAUACUUGGCCGC